GUCCUAUCACUGGUUACACGAGAGAAGAGGCUGACCCCCAGCUCACUACAAACUCCCUUCAGAUAGUUAUAGGUAGUUAUUUAUAUAUGAUUUAUGAUUUGUCUUCUUCCCUUUACCUGUGGAAAUGUGAUCAGCUGGACUAUAGCUAGAGCACUAUGUUCUUCUCAAACAUCAAACAUACAAAAACUGAAAAUGUCAAAAGCAAGCCUUCCCCUUCCAAGUAAACACCAAUCCAACUGCGCUGCACAAACCUUUCUGCAGUCAGAUAAUUUACUGCCAGCAACGUUCAGCCCUUUUUUAUUCAGUCCUGUGGACCUCUGCAUAGAGCUGUUCUAUCUACUAACUCAACAGACAUCACAGAGGUUUAGGUGGUGAAAGAGGCUUGGUGCUACUCUGCCACAGCAGGGAGAAGAUAUUUCUUCUGGGCACAUUACCUCAGGUGUCCUUCACAUGACUUCCAUGUAAGCUAUUUCAUACACGUUAGAAAAAGUAUUUUCACUACUGUUUCCCCAUCCUCAUAUCAAGAACACAGAAUAAUUAACUGCAGUUACGGGUAACACAAUCAAAUGGAAGUGUAUUUUUAUUACUGGAGAAGAUUUAAAUAGGCUCACCUGAUUGCCUUCUGCAGCAUUAAUCACCUGCAUGACAAAACAAACCAGGAUAUCACUGAUCUGCUGCUAAGAUCUGCCAAAGAGUAGUGCGUCUCUCUUUGCAUACCUCUCAGUGACAGUCGAGGUCCUACAUUUUUUCCCCAUAAAUGAAAAUUCUAUUUACCUGUUCCAAAUAGGAAUAAAUUUAUAAAUUUAAAAAUAAUAAAUAAAAUAAAGUCAGUAAAUUUGUUUGGUAACGUUGCAUGCUGUAUAAACUCUGACAGUAUCAUUUCUGAUUUGUACUUGCAAAAUGUGUUUUACAUAUUCCUGAAUUUUUGUUGGUUUUUUUUCCUUUCCUGACAUAGCAGUAAAAUUUACAGUAAACACAAAAGAUUUCUCUAUGUAUAAAUAUGAUAACCAAUAUUUGAAUCUUUUUCCUAUGUAUAACAUUUAGAUAUGUAAUAACAUACAUAAGUCACAUUGUUAGUAAUCAGCUUUUGUUAAAACUUCCUUUUUGGCUUUUCUUAAUAUGAAUUUAUUAAUAUAUUAUUUCUUUUUCUUGGCAUUAAGUGUUGCCAGUGUACAUUGCACUGCAUAAUAUAUACUGAAAAUCACAGCACUUAAGGGCCUAAUUUGGAGAUCUAAGUAGUAAGUAGAUGGACUUUCUAUAUGAAGUAGAUUUCAUUUAAAACAGUGAAGAUUCUGAAACGUAUUGAGAAUUCUUUAAAUAAGUAUUGUGUAGUAAUAUUAAGUUCAUAUAAAUCAAGUCUUAUGGCCUGGGCUUAAAGACACGUUUAGAGAAGCAGAGAGCCUAAAGCAAGAAAUUGUCUUUAAAUGAUAAAUCUAGGUUUUCUUUGCUUUUGUCCAGACUGAGAAAGAAGUUUGAAGAGUAGUUUCUAGAGAAUACCUGGUCCCAGACCUGCUCACAGUUCAUCUUCUCUCUUGACAGAGCUAACAACACUCCAGCAAGGCUACUCCUCUCCACAGCUGCCCAGAAUUAGGCUUCCUCUGUAUCCCAGUCUUCCCUUCCACAGAUUAGCAUGUUGUUAUCCACCACAGAUCAAGACAUGUUUCUGUCAAAGGACUCCAUAAUCCAUUCCUACAGAAAACCAUGCAUCAAGUUCGCAGGAUGAGGUUCUGAUAGAUGAAGCACUCACUUACAUGGUGACAAGUAGAAAUGGUUAUAUAAAAUGAAAUAUCAUUUAAGCAAGUGAGUAAUCCAAUCCAUUUUAAACACAGUCCUUAAUGGGGAGGAUGGGGGGCACCUUAAAUGUAAGCAGAUGAAUAAUCCAAUCCCUGUUGUGCUGGCAAUACGUAUAUUUAAACACAUUAUUUUAAGUGUCUAGGAGGCCAACAAAACCAACUUUCCAUACUAUUUAUGCCUACUGUACCCAGCCAGCUUGCAGGGCAUCAUCAAAAACUACUCUGCUGACAUCAGUAGUGUUUGGUUUUGGCCCCUUAUACAAUUUAACACUGACAAUCGUAGAGUGAAAGUGAGUUUAGCAUCAAAUUUAUUCUUGAUUGGAAAACAUGCACAACAAAUGUAAUUACUGCACAAGAAAAAGUAUGCCUGAGAUGGACUCCAUAGAGAGGAUGUGGUCACAAGGGCUCUCUUGAGCAAGAACACUGUGGUGCCCAGCUUUAUAAGCUGUUUUGGCACAUGCCCUUGACACCUCAUGCUGAAACACAGCUCCUGCCCUCUGAGAUCAUUCUCCUCCACCAGGACAAAUCCCAGGGCCUACCUGCUGCCUGCUAUCCAGAGAAAAAGGCAUAGUUCAGGAUCCUGCAACACAGGAACAGCAAACCUGCUAGUUUGCAGCACCAACCAUUUCUCCAUUUCACUGAAACUCCUAAAUUACCACAAUAUAAUAUACGCCUUUCUCUUUUAAGUCCUGAAACUUCAUUUUGCCCUGCUUUGAUACGUCACCCUUCUCUACGCAUUACUGGGAUGCCCUGGAUCUGCAGCGCACCUCACUGUAGGGAUUCCACCCGUGUUCACACACGUCCUUCCACCAGCAAAGCCUCAGUGUCACAUCAAGAGGCACAGACUCCCUGCUGUGCAGACCUCUUGUUAUCAAGAGAUUGUUGAAAAAACACAGCGCAGUUGCAAGGACUUAUCCCUGGAUGUAAAUAUGUUUCAAAUUAAAGCAGAACUAGAAAUGACUGCAACAUAAAGAAAGCUCUGCUGACUGGAAAAUCUGGUAAACUCAUGUCUUUUCCAGAUAUAUCUAUCGCAUCGUAUUUUUAAAUGACCGGUUUUGUGUUUUUCAGCUGCACAGUCUCCAGUUUGUGUUCCCGGCUGUAAGUAUAAUAGGAUUUUUUUUUAAGUCUUCAGCUUCAGGCAUUUUUUUUUCUCCUUUUCUUCCUUACAUCUCCCUCGCUAGCAUUAGAAUGACUAUACUUCCUUAACACUAUCUGCUACUUUUUAAUCUUGAAUUCAUAACUUCCGAUAGCCUGGAUAUGGUUUCUCUUAGAGAGAGCGCCUUAGAAAAAUUAUGUGUAAAUACUGCAGCGCUGACUGGGGUUUCACGUCUCUGUAUUUAUGCCUUGUAUAUACUCUCGGCUCCCGAUCUGCUUGCUUGCCAGCGUGAUUGAUUGGCUGUGUACUGAGGGAUGUUUAUAACAGCGGGCAGGUACUGUACGCGAACACGGACGCCAACACCCGAGGGCACGGAGCGGAGCGCUGCUGCCGCGUUCCUGCGGCUCCGAGGCCGCAUCACCGGCACCGAUCCCGUGCUUCAUCGGUGGGGAGGUUUUCCAUUCCUCCUCCGCAGCAAACGGAACCAGCCCAGAGCAGACAGCGGCCGGCGGCGGCGGGGGUGGGAGAGAAGAUCAGUAAUAACAACAACCGACAACGAAAGGAAACAAAAGUGGGAGAAGGGAGAGAGAAGGAAAAAAAAAAAAACAACGUUGCAACUGUCACCGUUUUGCAAGCGUCAGAUUAGCGCUUUGUCAUAACGUGACCACACUGUUUCCGAUAGGUUUUCCAACCCGUAAUCGUUUGUAACGUCUCAGCUUUGAAUCGGGAAAGCAAAAUAAAAAGCAAAAACACUCUGAUGCUUUGGGUUUAAAAUGCUUUCUAGAGUGGGGAAAGUGGAGGUUUCUAUUUUCUUGCGGCAGUGAGAAGCGAAAUAGCCGCGUUUUACCACUUGGAAUAACGCCAUAAUCUUGACGAAGGGAUUCAAACAUUUAAAGAUAACAGAUGCGCUGUAGCCCGACGGAGCGGUGCCCGCCUCGUCACGCUCUUCCCUUUCUCAAGGUCAGCUCUGAGCAAGCGGUAGCUCCGCUCGUACGCGUCGCGCAGCGCACACUGCACCGCGGUGGCAGACACGGAGCUAAUCCAAUCCUUACCUCAGUUUUCAACGUUUUCUUUUGCAUCGAUAAAAUCGAACCGCUUUAGAACCGUAUCCACGGCAACAACGCACAGGCUGAGCUAGCGGCAAGCACCUUGCCUCUCUGCUGCUUUACUCUUGAAAGGAACGUUCGAAUUAAGCGGUGAUAACGCCAAGGGGCCCACUUCGGGAAAUUCACGGGGUCGGUUCUCAGCAGCAUACCGAAGGGAGAAAGAAAAAAAAAAAAAAAGGAAGGAAAGAAGAACGGAGGACGGAAGGAAGAGAGCCGCCGUUUGGGGCGGCCCUGGCUCCGCUCCUCUCGUCACCGUGACCCCAACCCACCCCUCGGCAAAGCUCCCAGCCGUCAUGCCUCAUCUACACGAAGGCACAGCUCCAGAGCGGGGAAUUCCAUUUCCUAAUUAAAAUCUCGUCAG
This is a long non-coding RNA of Gallus gallus (chicken), 4356 nucleotides long. RefSeq lists it as uncharacterized. The record is from RefSeq and is a predicted model, not a curated record. NCBI's taxonomy places the organism in Eukaryota, Metazoa, Chordata, Aves, Galliformes, Phasianidae. The transcript is spliced from 3 exons.